This 513-nucleotide long non-coding RNA is filed under the name Zonotrichia albicollis (white-throated sparrow). RNAcentral describes it as "lncRNA (ENSZALG00000014217.1)". The record is from RNAcentral. Lineage: Eukaryota; Metazoa; Chordata; Aves; Passeriformes; Passerellidae.
CAAAGUUACCAGAGGGAUUUAAAGUGCCCUGAAAACAUAAGUUGUGAGUGUUUGUUUCCUUUGGACAGCUCUUGCAGUCUGAAUUCUGUGUGAAAUGUGAAACCCUGAUGAAAUAUUAAGGACUCUUGGAGAGAGGACACACCACAGUCGCUGCAGGUGGGUUGCUGAGCUGGCCAUUCAGAAGGGGCCAGCCCUCAUCUGCCAAUGCAUGGAGAUAUGGGUAACCUAAGACCUGCAAUUAAGAGAGCAAAAAGGAAGUGAGAAUAAAUUAACAAGAGCAGAGGUUAAAUUAAGAUAACCAGUGUCACUGAAUGGAACCACCUGAAAAUUCAUAAAUACCAGAAAACAUCCUGCUGCCAGAGGGAGGGAGUAAUUUUGACAGCCAGUUUCUGGCUGAUAUUCUCAGUUUUGGGGCUUCACUAUCAGGAGGAACACACAGCAGGGGCUCAGCACUGCGACCUGGGGGAAACAAGGAAAGGGGCUGCUGAUGGAUCACUCCUGAGAUCUCUCCCA